AGGAAAUUGAAAGAGAAUUAAAAAAGGAAUGUGAGGUCGUCGAUGGAGGAGGAAUUGAAAAAGAAAAAGAAGAAGAAAAGCGUACACCGUCUGAUAAAGAAAUAGAAGCAAGAAUAGAAGAAGAGGAGGUGAAAAUUAUAUGUGGGAAAAUAACAAGAAUGAAAUAUGAAGGUUAUAUAGUUUUAGAUGAAGCUCCAAAUGCAAUAAUUUGUUUAGAC
This 218-nucleotide long non-coding RNA is filed under the name Lathyrus oleraceus (garden pea). RNAcentral's name for it is "Pisum sativum (pea) long non-coding RNA (PSAT_LNC028059)". The record is from RNAcentral. Lineage: Eukaryota; Viridiplantae; Streptophyta; Magnoliopsida; Fabales; Fabaceae.